Small nucleolar RNA from Balaenoptera musculus (blue whale), 86 nucleotides. The record is from Ensembl. Lineage: Eukaryota; Metazoa; Chordata; Mammalia; Artiodactyla; Balaenopteridae.
AGCAGAUGAUGGCUUUCUCUCACAAUGGUCUGCGAUGCCACUGUGGCCAGUACCAAUAAUGCCAAUGGCUCAGCUGAUGCCAGGAG